RNAcentral lists this small nuclear RNA (107 nucleotides) under Carlito syrichta (Philippine tarsier). Lineage: Eukaryota; Metazoa; Chordata; Mammalia; Primates; Tarsiidae. The record is from RNAcentral.
AUAGUCACAUUGGUAACAUAAAUGCUAAAACUGAAAUGACACAGAGAAGACAAAUAUGGCCCCCAUGCAAGGAGGACAUGUACAUUCAUGGAUUGUUUGAUAUCUUU